This 446-nucleotide ribosomal RNA is filed under the name uncultured bacterium. Its description in RNAcentral is "bacterial SSU rRNA". It matches the Rfam family "Bacterial small subunit ribosomal RNA", at positions 330 to 793 of the family's 1533-position model. The record is from RNAcentral.
UCCAGACUCCUACGGGAGGCAGCAGUGGGGAAUAUUGCACAAUGGGGGAAACCCUGAUGCAGCGACGCCGCGUGAAGGAAGAAGUAUUUCGGUAUGUAAACUUCUAUCAGCAGGGAAGAAAAUGACGGUACCUGACUAAGAAGCCCCGGCUAACUACGUGCCAGCAGCCGCGGUAAUACGUAGGGGGCAAGCGUUAUCCGGAUUUACUGGGUGUAAAGGGAGCGUAGGCGGUUCAGCAAGUCAGAAGUGAAAGCCCGGGGCUCAACUCCGGGACUGCUUUUGAAACUGUUGAACUGGAUUGCAGGAGAGGUAAGUGGAAUUCCUAGUGUAGCGGUGAAAUGCGUAGAUAUUAGGAGGAACACCAGUGGCGAAGGCGGCUUACUGGACUGUAAAUGACGCUGAGGCUCGAAAGCGUGGGGAGCAAACAGGAUUAGAUACCCCGGUAC